UUCUGUUUAAAUAUGUACACGUGUUGUGGACGCCGACGUUUCUUUGGAGACGUGAAUUUAUGCUUUGGAUGAAUAAUUAAAUUAUACAAACACGUCGGACUUUGACGUCAUCAGUGGUCGACCAAAACAAAAACAUGGCGGAAAGUCAUUCGGCUGGACUUCGGUAGAAACUUCUCUUCUUUUUUGUUUAUCAUCCUUUCGUCUGUUUAGAGUCUGUCAGUGAUUUUGUAGAAUUGCAAUACUGCGUUCGCUGUUGGUACUGUAGAAGCUUAUUUUGUUCUCCGGGAGUUGCCAGGGUUAGUUAGUUGGCAGGGGGGUGUUUAUGUUGGACUGCGCGGGUUUUUGGGUCGUGUCUAACGGAGACUGAAGGCACGAAUAAUGUUGUUAUCUUGCUGCACCAACGAACUUGGACCUUAUUGACUGCUGUCCGGGCGGAUUUACCAAAUAUAACCCUUAACUCACGUCCACUGUUUAAAAUCAAGUGGCCACUGAUAAAUUGGUAUUCAGGCUGAACUCACUCAACUGAGGAGCAUCAUGGAUGACGAUGAUGCCUUAUUUCUUGCUGAUUUGCUGUUGGAGGAAUGCAAGAAUACUCAACCUAAAGAAUCCUCAGAAGUGUCUGGACCGGAGAAAUUUACAUUUGUUUGGGUUGAGGAGGACGAGGAAGGGAAUCCUAUCCCAAAGGGGAGGAGAACAGGGAAGAAGCGGGUAAAGAGUUCGUCCUCAGCGUUUCCAUCCACACUUCCAUGGUUUUACAUAAUAGAUCAUCCAUGAUAGAGGGAUUCUACAGGCCACUGCCACCAACCACUCACAUCAGUGAAGAGAAGGGAGGAAAAUUCUCCUUCCAUGGAAGAGGUCUGUACUGUAUUUUAAAACCUCUUUUUAAUUAUGUUUGUCUCCUUUCUUCCCAGAGUGCAUUUUGCUAGUAAUGCAUCCAUGCUGUGACUGCUGCUCUGGGCAUACAACCUUUUCUGCAGGAAAGCAAGUAAUACUGAUUUGAAUGAAUGGUCGAUACAAUGUGUCCCUCCCAACUGUCAGCUGCUCCUGUGGGAAAGCUUUGGAUGUCGGUAUGUCAAGCUUUCGUUGGUAUGCUUGAGCAGCGCACAAAACUCUUUGGUCGGUGUGGUAAAAUAUGUGGCGACACCAUGCAAAAAUCAUUCCUGGAAUGGUCGUACGCAAAAUUUGAAGUUGAGAGGCUGUCUGAAGUCGCUCAGUUUCGGUGCCCAGCCUGCACACCCUCAAUGUUAGCUGUCUCAGUGGAUGGGAACCUGAACUUGAAAAAACCAUUGAAGGACUGUAUCUCAGCAUUAAGCAGCGGAAAUAUCAGCUGUAUCGUCAGGCUGAUGGCAACAAGAGAAGACAUCUGCUGAGAAAAAAGAUUUCAGUGGAAAAGAGAUCCUUAGAAGAUGCCAUCACAAAAUACAAUGCUGUUGUGCCGGAAACUGGCAAACUCCCUUCUCCCAACGAGCUCCUGGCUGAGGAAAACUAUUCCUGGCCUUGGGAAUGUCAUGGUGAUAUGUUAAAGAAAAAAAAGGUCUUCGACAAGGUAAUGCUGCUGAAACGACUGAAGGAAGAGGAGGUCAUUGUUGUCCGUGAAGUCAAGCAGCACUGGGAGUACAUGAGGAAUAUGGCUGGAAAUAUUGAAGAGAUUUCCUCCCAGCUUUCAGAAGGGAUCACUCAGCAAAGCGGCACAGAAGCAUUGACUGGGAGAGGACGUGAGGGGCUACUCUGUCUGCUGAAGAGAAGACUGUCAGCAAUUCAAGCUCAGCAGGGUGCAGCUCGCUCAACGUACCAACGUGUUUUUGGAUCGCAAGCCUUGUCUCUCGAUGAUUCGUCCACUGGUGAUGAAGAACCCCAUGAUAGCAGCUCCUCCACCGAAGAUGAAGAACACUAGCAUUGUAGCUCCUCUUCUGAACUUUGACCUCCCUCAUUAUAAAAUGAGGAAAACUGUUGUAAUUACCUGGCCUGCAGUAUGAAUGUGAAAUGUUAAAAUAAACUGUCCUGCAAUUGACUCUUUUUCUGAGUUAUGUACUAUUACUAUUUUGAAGUAGAUGCUGAUGCUUUUUAUGUAAAUUAUGAAUUAUUAAUUUG
Molecule: long non-coding RNA, 2091 nt
Organism: Synchiropus splendidus (mandarinfish)
Lineage: Eukaryota; Metazoa; Chordata; Actinopteri; Syngnathiformes; Callionymidae
Exons: 9
Source: RefSeq, a predicted model, not a curated record